AUUUUUUUAAGGUUUUCAGACUUCACACAGUGACUAAAAAGUAAAAACCCGCUGAAACUUCUCUUCUUUUCUUAGGUUUUCAGUUUUCACUCUCAAACUCUCAUCUUCCUUUUCUGACUCAGCGAUUCUCUCAAACUCUCAUCUUCCUUUUGAUCUCCCUUAUUUCUCACUUCUCACUUCUCACUUCUCACUUCUCACCUCUCAGCAAUUUAUCCUCUUCUUCCUAAGGUAUUAUUCAUCUUCAUCCUAAGUUUUGAUUCAUCUUCAUCCUAAGGGACUAAUCAUGUUUGUAUCAAAGCAUUAGUUAAGCCCACCGAAUCUUCAUGUACUAAGCCUACUAAACUUGCUGAUCAUUGCUUGAAUGAGGGAGAUCAUCUUCAACUUGGACUAAUCAUGAACAUGGAAUCAAGACAAAGACAAGGAGCAAAAGGAAGCCUCCCAACAGACAUCAGACUGAACAGAAGGCCACAGAAGGCUGAUUCAACACAUACAAGCAACAGAACAAGCAGAGCACCAGCCUGUCUGCCAGCCCACCUUGCGAGCGAGCCAUGAAGAGCUUAGCUUGGCGCAUGUAUGAGCAUGGAAAUUCAAAGAACGACAUCUUCAUACAUGAAAUAAGAAGCCAAGACUCAAAGAUACUACGGAGAGUCCUCACAGAACCCACAAGAACAACUGCAAGGUCAUGUGCUCGUCAGUUUCUGGAUAAUGGUUUAUUCCAGUAUAAUAAGGCUAUUUUUGUUUCUGUUUUAAUCUUCAUGUAUUGCACGCGCUUUAAUAAUUAGGCACGGGGUUAGUUAUGUUUGUUAGAUACUCCAAACUAGCCGUUAGAGCUCUAUAUAAAGGGGCACCCUCAUUGUAUCAUGACAUUCAGAUUUGGUUAAUGAAUUUUCAUUCAAAGUAAUUGUGUGCAAUUACAAACCUGAGUGUUGUCUUUGUGAGUGAAGCAAAGAGGAUAUUCAGUUGUUUCCACGAGAAUAUAGAGAGUGAAUCUUAAUUUGAGUGUGAGGAAGAGGCCAGUGGCUGAGUGAAGGUCAAUUGUCUCUAUCCACGACAUAGAACCAUUCCAAGGAAUUGUUCUUGUCACCUUCUGUUUCAUACAAAUAGAAGGCUUGUGUGUGUUCUUCAUGUCAAGACUGUUCUUGGCAUUAUUCUUGAAAGGAUUGGGUUCUUGGAUCAACCAUCACCACAUACGCAUCAAUUGGUAUCAAAGCUGUGUUCUGAGAAGGGACACGAUCAAAAGGAGAUAAGUAAAGGCCAGGUAAUCAGAUCAAACACACGUCUGGUAGGAGUAAUCAGAAGGAUCAGGUAUUGUACGUUUUUGUUCAAAUUUCACAAAAUACAGGUACGAAUUCAAUCUCAUAACUUCAUAAUUCAAUCUUUCCUUGUUAAUAACUCAUUUAUAAUCAAGGAUUACAGAAUAUAUUUGAUCAUUAGACGAAUUUGAUUGUGGAAUGAAAAAUUCUGAAAAAUCUGAUUAUCGUAUGAUUAAAUGUGCAUCAAUUUGAUUCCUGAUAUUUUGUUUCUGAGUCAUUAUACAUAUCAAAAUUUGUCAACUAAUUCAUUUAAAUUCAAUUCUUGAAUGUCCUGAAUGAAUACUUGCUGAAACUUGAUGACGAUGGUAUUUUAAACGUUCGAACAUUGAGUCUUCGCUGAGAACAUUGAUAUAUGCGAUUUUUGAUUCUUGUAUUUCAAUCUCUGAUUGUUGUGGGUGUGAUAUCUGUUAGGAAUUGGAUAGAAUUUAUUUGUGAAUCGUUGGAUAUUACGAUUGCUUUGAGAAAAAUUGAUCAUAACAAUCUGAUUCACGAAGUUCAUUCUGAGAAAUUAGGGUUUGGUGUUUGUGCAUUCAUUUUUGUUUCUGAAAACUUGUGGUUUGAGGAAUUCUUGCAUUGUGGUAACAAGAACAUCAUGAACACCGAUGAGACGUUUGCUGAAAUGGCCCUUGCCAUCCAACAACUCACACAUGCAGUGACCAGACUUGAGAUAAACCAUGAAGAGAGGAAUGCCCAUGCACAAUCACGAAAGAAACACAGAGGAUAAGACACUUAGGUUAGAUGUCUCUGAUUUUGGGGGAACAACACACAACCCUGAGGAUUACUUGGAGUAGGAGGCUGGGCUGGAAAGGUACUUUGAAUUCAAAGAGACCUCUGAAGAGCGGCAGUACAAACUAGCCAAAAUCAAGUUAACCAAGCUAGCUGCCAUAUGGAUCGAGGGAAUUCAGAAGCAGAGAAGGAAGGAGAACAGGGAGAGGAUUAACACUUGGGCUAAGUUGAAGAAACACCUCAGAAAGAAGUAUGUGCACUCAUCGUAUAGGCAGCAUCUUUUUGUGCAAUGGAGCACUCUGAGGCAAGGAAAUAGAGCAGUAGCUAAUUACAUUCAGGAGUGGGAGAGGUUGUCUGUUUUUUGUGAUGUUAAUGAACCAGAGGAGAUGAAGAUAGGUAAGUUCAUAGGAGGCUUGAGAGAGGAUUUGAGGGAAAAGCUUGAGGUGAUGCAGCACUUGACCCUUGACACAGCCUUUAGUAGUGCCCUCACAUAUGAAAAAUACGCCAAGAAGAGGAAUACCUGUGCACAACCACGUGAGUCUACCUUUCCUAAACUUAACACAGUAGGUAAUACAGCAAAUAUGGGAGUAGGUACCAGCUCAACAAGCAAAAGCACCAAUACAACAGUACCCAACAGAACAAAGGAUAGAAUCAAUGUGCCUAUGAAGGAUGUAAUGUGCUUCAAGUGUCAUGGCCAUGGACACUACAGAAAUGAGUGUCCUAAUGCACGAGCUUUCACAAACAUUGAGUGGACUAAGAUACACAGCAGGGAGAAAGGACUUAGAGCUAUGCUAGUAACCAAAGAUGGGGAGGAGAAGGUUAUACUACCACCUACACCUGCAAAUGAACAUGAAGGUUCUUACAUACUGACCAACUUAGGGACUUUGCAACGAAUUGAACCAGGUGACACUGAGGACAGUGAGUCAGAGGGAGAGAACAGAGAGGUCAUUGAAAGGAUAUACCCUGAGGAAGGCAGCUACCAUUUGCUCAUACGGAGAAACUUCCAUACCACGCCAAAAGGAAAGAAAACUGAUCAGUAGGAGAGUGUGUUUCAGACCAAGUGUAGAGUGCAGGAUCGAGUAUGCAACCUUAUAAUUGAUGGAGGAAGCGAGACCAAUUGUGUGAGCAACCAACUAGUGCAGGAUCUGACAUUGAGCACUAUUGACCACCCUAAUCCAUACAAGCUACGUUGGUUAGACAAUAAGGCUGAAGGUUUUGUAAAGAAGCAAUGUUUAGUUAGUUUUUCAAUAGGUUCUUACAAUGAUGAAAUGUUGUGUGAUGUGUUGGACAUGAAUAUAUGCCAUAUACUGUUGGGAAGGCCCUUGCAGUAACUAAACACUCCAUGCAUAAUGGGUUUACCAACAUAUAUACCAUCAAACAUGAUGGAAAAAUGAAAGAUCUUAUACCCUUACCCCCAUAUAAGACCAUUGCUGCUCCUACAAAGCAGAAGAAGGCAAGCUAUGUGCUGAACAAGAGUGACUGUUACAAGGGAGUUCAGAAUGGGAGAGACUUGGUGCAUUUGUUCACUAAAAGAAUUAGUGAGAACCUAAUCCAGCAACAACACAAAGCCUUGAUAUCAUUAGAAGAUAAGGCAUUAGAUCUUGAGUUGAUUAAACCCUUGACUGUUGAUGAUAUUGAAAUAAACAAACUGCAUCAGGGAAGCUCAUCUGCAUGCUGUGAUGUGAAUGGCUUUUAUUUUACAGGAGACACAAUUGUUGAUAUUCAUUAUUGUUGCAGGUACCAUGCAGAUACUAAACAAAAAGCUGUAAGGAUGCUACAACCACAAGAGGAACUCAGAAUGCAUACCACAAGGGAGAAGGAACAAUGCAGUAUCACAACAAACGAAGACAUCAAACGUGAGGAGCUGCAGGAAGGAACUUUGAUAUGGAUACAUUUGAACCUUCUGAAUAGCUAUGAAAUUUCGAAGGCUUUCACCCUUGAUGACAUAAAAGGCAUGAAGGCAACGCAGAAUUGAGGACAAUUCUGUUUAAAGGAGGGAAUAAUACGAUUAUAGAUAACCUACAAAUCAAAACAAAACAAGAAGAGCAUAAUUGUAUCAAAGCAUUAGUUGAGUCCACUGAAUCUUCAUGUACUAAGCCUACUAAACUUGCUGAUCAUUGCUUGAAUGAGGGAGAUCAUCUUCAACUUGGACUAAGCAUGAACAUGGAAUCAAGACAAAGACAAGAAGGAGCAAAAGGAAGCCUCCCAACAGACAUCAGACUGAACAGAAGGCUGAUUCAACACAUACAAGCGACAGAACAAGCAGAGCACCAGCCUGUCUGCCAGCCCACCUUGUGAGCCAUGAAGAGCUUAGCUUGGCGCAUGUAUGAGCAUGGAAAUUCAAAGAACGACAUCUUCAUACACGAAAUAAGAAGCCAAGACUCAAAGAUACUACGGAGAGUCCUCACAGAACCCACGAGAACAGCUGCAAGGUUAUGUGCUCGUCAGUUUCUGGAUAAUGGUUGAUUCCAGUAUAAUAAGGCUAUAUUUGUUUGUUUUAAUCUUCACGUAUUGCACGCGCUUUAAUAAUUAGGAAAUGUCCACAACCGGAGACAAUAGCAAUGAUUUUAUGGAGAUACUUCCUUCAAAUUCCGAGGAGGAAUCUGAACCUUAGGUUUUGAUGAAGGUUCAAUCCAAGAAAACGAACGGAAAAGAUCAUGAAAAAACAACAAAGAAUCAAGAUGAAUCUGGGUAAGCGUAAAAAAACUUCUACUGCUUAGGAUCAUUUUAGUGAAAUUCCUGGUGAUACAAAUUUUGCUAAGUUUUUUAAUUGUAAUGCAAAAAUUUCUUGCGCUGCUGCUAAUGGAAAUAAUGCUAUGAAGCGUCAUAUUAUGAGGUGUAAGAAAACUCUUAUUUUAUUGACAAAAGGCAAACAAUUUUAGAUUUUGAGUCUAAAACAAGAGUGAACAUCGAUGGAACUGUUGAGACUGUGAGUGUUCCUAAAUUAUGCAUUUUAAUCAAGAUGAAAUAAGAAAAGCAAUUGUUGAAAUGAUAAUUCUUGAUGAAUUGCAAUUUAAUUUUGUAGAAUGUGAAGGUGUUCGUAAGCUUUGCAAGGUUGUUAUUCCUGAUUUCAUUCCUAUGUCACGUGCUACAAUUAAAAGAGAUUGUUAUGGUCUUUUUAUUGAGAAUAGAAAGAAAUUAAAGAAUUUCUUUAAGAAUUUGACAUCUAGGGUUAGUCUUACCACAAAUAUAUGGACUUUUGGUCAAAAUAUGUCAUAUAUAUGUCUAACUGCUUAUUAUAUUGACGAUAAUUGGAACUUGCAUAAAAAUAUCAUUAAUUUUUUCCCUGUUGUUGGUCAUUUUGGGUUAGUCUUACCCCAUUAGUGCUGUUGAAAAGUGUCUUCUUGAAUGGGGUCUUAAAAGAGUACUCAUGUUAACCGUCGACAAUGCUAGUUCUAAUGAUUUAGCAAUUAAAUAUUUGAAAGGGGUAAUUAAUCUUUGGAUCAUUGUGUGUUGAAGGCUGAGCUUUUACAUAUGAGAUGUGCUGCACAUAUUUUGAAUCUAGUUGUUAAAGAUGGUUUGAGAAAAGUUGAUAAGGCUAUUUUGAAAGUCCGAGCUACUAUGAAAUAUGUGAGGUCUUUCCCUGCAAGGCUACAAAAGUUUAAGGCAUGUAUUUUAGAGGAAAAUUUAAGUUGUAAGGGUCUUGUUAGCUUAGACAUUGAAACAAGGUGAAAAUCCACUUACAACAUGCUUAAAACUACAUUGACAUUUAGAAAGGCUUUUAAAAAUUUGAAAACAAGUUCUCUCCUUAUGUAAGAGAGCUUAAUAAGGUGGAUGGUGCACCUGACGAUAAUGAUUGGGAUAGGGUUGUUGUGUUUUUGCCUUUUCUUGAGAUUUUCUAUGAUGCUACUUUGAGUUUGUCUGGAUUAAUAUAUGUCACAUGUAAUGUAGUUGUUGAAUAGAUUUAUGACAUUAGUUAUGCCAUUAAGACUCAUCUUAAUGACCAAGUUGAAGGUCUAAAGCAAAUGGCAAAAUUAAUGAAGUAUAAAUAUGACAAGUAUUGGACAAAUGUUAAUAAUGUCAAUGUUUUGAUGUUCAUUGCUUUAGUUUUUGAUCCAAGACUUCAUGUUGAAGUAUGUUGAGUGGAUUGUUCAACGUAAUUAUGAUUAUAUUAACUCAAUUAGCAUGUGUGAACGGAUUAGAGAUACUUUGGUGAAAUUGUUUGAUUUUUAUGCAUCUUCCCAACUAAUAAAGAAGAAAGUUUAUGUUCAAGGGUUCCUAGUGUUAAUGUUGGCUUCAAUAUGAUUGAGGUUGAGGGGAAAAGGAGCAAGGGGUCAAGAUUAAGAAAGGAGUAUGUGAAUGGAACUAGAAAAUUCACUUCUGAUGUAAAAACUGAGUUGGAUAAGUAUUUAGGAAGUGAGUGUGAAGAUAAUAUUGAUGAUGAGUUUAAUAUAUUGUCUUAGUGGUCUGGAUAAGGGAAAACCUAUCCAAUUCUUAUGUCAAUGGCUAGAGAUGUGCUAGCUAUUCCAGUUUUGAGUGUUGCUUCAAAGUCCGCUUUUAGCACGGGAGGACGUGUUCUUGAUCAAUUUUGUACUUCUUUGAAUGGUAGAAGCUCUAAUGUGUUGUCAAGACUGGCCAGUCUGAUAUUCUAUUAUGUGCAUGAAUGUUAAUAGUUGAAAUUUUGACAUGAAAAUCAUAUCUUGACGUUGAUUUGUUAUGUGGAGUGAUACUUAAAAGACCAUGGGUCUAUCCUCUUUGUGAGCAGGAGGUAAUUGGAUCUGCUAUAUUUUGAGGCGAGUUGUCAUUCAGACUUUGGCUAGCUUCACUCAAGAGAGACAUAGCCUUAGAGCUAUGGAGCAUCCUCACAACAAGAUACUAAGUGCGCACGAAGGUCUAGGAUUUUGUUUUUAAUAUUAUUUGUUAUUUUCUUCUCCCUGUUUGUGAAAUCAUAUUUUAAUGAAAUUUAAAAAAAAGUUUUACGUGAGGUAUGUCUACUCGCUCAACCUUCCAUGGUUGACACUUUUCUAUUUUGGUUUUUAGUUUGCAGAUGAUUUACAGAAGCAUCCGAUUUGCAGGUCAGAUACUUUAAAGUGACAUAACCUCUACAAAUAGUAUCGAUUUUGUCGAUGCAGAUGACUUUUGUUGAUAUGAGAUGUACUAAUCUUAAAGUGUUUGUAUUGAGUUGAAUUUUCAUAUUGGAUUAUUUGUUGGGUACUUGAUAGAGUUUUGAUUUAUAAGGUUAUUUGGAGAUACCCAUGUUGUAAUUAAUUUGGGUUUAUGCGAGUUAAGCUUAGUAACAUCGUAGACUAAUUAAGUAAAUAUUAGACGGGGUGUUACACUUUUUAAUUUUUUUUGUGAUGUAUAUUAUUUUGUAGGUAUGGAAGAUUUGGUUUUAGAGCAAUCAACCAUUAUCAUUGAUAAGACGACUGAUAUUCCAACAGAACAAUGAGCAAAUGAAGACUUUUCUUGUAAUUGUUAUGUUAUUGAAAACGUUUGUAAUUGAGAAUUGUGGACUUUGUUUUGUUUGGAUUUUUGUUUAAAACAUUGCUUUGUUUGGGCUUUUGUUUAAAACUUUGCUUUGUUUGGGACAUUAAUAUUUAAUGGUGGACUAUGGUUUGUUUGAGACUUUGAACAAUAUCGAUAUUAUAUAUUGCAAAUUAGUAGAAUAUUAGUUUUAUAAUUUGAAAUUUUGCCUAAAUUAUAUCACUACAUUUUGAACUUUUUGAUCUCAAAACCACUGCAUAAUGCAUACAACAUUUUGAUUUCUGCCCAUA
Amaranthus tricolor (Joseph's coat) is the source of this 7753-nucleotide RNA transcript. RefSeq lists it as uncharacterized. The transcript has 5 exons. NCBI's taxonomy places the organism in Eukaryota, Viridiplantae, Streptophyta, Magnoliopsida, Caryophyllales, Amaranthaceae. The record is from RefSeq and is a predicted model, not a curated record.